RNA transcript from Mandrillus leucophaeus (drill), 2308 nucleotides. RefSeq lists it as uncharacterized. Lineage: Eukaryota; Metazoa; Chordata; Mammalia; Primates; Cercopithecidae. The transcript has a single exon. The record is from RefSeq and is a predicted model, not a curated record.
GAACAAACACCAGCUCUUGCCAAUCUCAGUCUCCCGAGCUAUAGAGGAAAAGAGCCAAAAAAGUUUAUCCUGGCUCAGCCACCUCCUGGCUGUGUAGCUACAGGCAAGUUAUUUAACUUUGCUGAACAUUGGUUUUUCCAUCUGGAAAAAGUGGACAGGAUAAGCUGCCACUGGAGGCUACCUUAAGGGUGAAUGAGUGAAAUGGGGUUGAGUGCUUAAUGAACUAUUAAAACAUGACACAGAUGGGUGAGGUGACAUCUGACUGCUCUUCAUAGCAGUUCUUGCAUGGUGAGCAGAUGCAGUGUGCUCGUUCAUUCACUUGUUCAUCAAACACCAACAGUACUCCCUUGUGCCAGGCCUUGUGCUGGGCACUGUAGGGGCUAUGGGGGGAGUAAGACACAGUCAUGCUCUCGAGGAACUCGCUGUCCAGCAGAGUGAUAGGACAUGAAUACGUACUUCUAGCAAAGGCUGAAAAUCACUAGGCAGGUGGCCAGAUGAGGUCAGAGCUCUGGCCCUAGUGCCCUGUAGUGAGUUUCGAGGGAGUAGGAAAUGAAGACAAAACAGCAAGAGCACAGGUCCAGCACAGGAGGGUGAAGGAUGUGGAAAGAGGAGCAGAGCAUGAUAAAGCUACUAAAGUAGGGGUCAAGUCAUGGGGUCCGGGUGAGAGGUCACUGGGGAGCCCUGGACAGGCUCUGAACGGGGGACAGACUAGACUGACAAAGCAGCUCUUUCUGGAGACCUCCCAUGGAGGGUCCCCUCUUCUACCCAUAGAAGAGGAGGUGUCACUCACUUUACGAUACACAUGGGGAAAGGAAGUUGGAGAGGGGAAGGCACUUGUCUAAGGUCACUCAAUGGUCAUGCCAGUGGAAAGCACCCAAAGCCUGGUCCAGGUCCUGCCACCUCCUGCCUGGGCUCCAUCUUCUCGGCUCAGUUCAAGCCUUUAUUAUCAGAGUCCCUCUGUGUGCCAGGCUCUGUGCUGAAUGUCCGUGUCGGCCACGAAUUGCACUAACAGUGCUUACUGCCACUUUCUCUCCGACUUUACCUCCAAAGACCCAGCUGGGCCUAACCCUCACACACAGCCAGAGGAAUCCUUCCCAAACACACUGUUAAUCACAUCGCUCUUCCGUUUAAAACUGGCUUACUAAAGCCAACACAGGAUAAAAUCCACAAUCAGUCCCAAACCCAUCUUUCUCUGCCCUCUCUAGACCACACUGAGUACCAAGGCCUGCACAUUUCGCAGCCAGCCCUCCUGCUCUCCCCCUUGCCCUCCAGUCACACUGGCCCUCAACCCCCAACACUGGGGCCACCUCUGAGCCCUGCAUCAAACACCAGCACCCCCUUCGCCGAGCUCAUUCUUCUUCAUUCCUCAGAGCUCAGCUCAAGCAUCACCUUCCUUCCCUGCGACAGGGUCAGGUCCUUUCCUGUGCGCUCCGCAGCACCCUGCCUGUCCCUCGGAGUCCUCGCGAGAGGAACUAGGUAACUGUGAUCCCCGUGCACAGCACGGUGUCUGCCUAGGACACAGUGAGCGCUUCAACGCGCUGAACUAACCGAAUGAAGGAGAACACCAACUCAGCUGUCACCCCGCCCCCAAGUGUCAGUGGCUAGAAGAUCUUCCCCCGUUCUCUGGCAGCACCGGUGGGUUUUGUCACUGAGGCUGCCGUUGCUGUCUAUUGACAGGCGUCCCCCUCAGGAGACCGGGAGCUCCUCCAGCGCAGGGCCCCGCUCAGCACCCCUGGUCCCGGGGGACCCCACGGAGGCCGCCGCGCUCAGUGAAACUUUGCCGCUCGCAGCAGCGCCCGGAGACCCGCGUGGACCCUCUCCCUGCGGGGACCGGUCAGGGCGCGCCGCCCCUAGCCCGCGGCAGCCGCCCCGACCUGGACCAAGGUCGGCCAAGUCCUCGCCGCCUGCCCAGCGGCCCUUGGACCCACAGGCCUGGACCAGAGUGCGCGGAAGCCUCCGAGCCACGGCCAGGUCACAGAAUGCGCGGCGGGACAGCCCGGCCCGUCAAGCAGCGAAGCCGAAACUAGAAGUCUCAGGUCUGGCUUGGUCACUGUUUGCUGGGGGACUCCGACGAGCAACUACCCUUCGGGGACUCAGUUUCCCCCGGGCCAAGUGAAACGGACACCAGCGGCUCCCGCGAGAACUCGCGCGGGAACAGGAGCCGCGAGCUCCGCACAGCGCCUGGCACCUAGACCCAGUCUACUAACGGGCUGGAAGGCCGCGCUCCCGUCUCCACGCCGCCCUAGAACCUUUCUCACCUCAGUCUCGGGCUCCGGGACUCUCUCACCUCACUGCCCCUCCUUCCACC